This 67-nucleotide transfer RNA is filed under the name Marmota monax (woodchuck). Its description in RNAcentral is "tRNA.Val". Lineage: Eukaryota; Metazoa; Chordata; Mammalia; Rodentia; Sciuridae. The record is from RNAcentral.
GGUUGUGGUUCAGUGGUAGAGUGCUCGCCUCACAUGUGUGCGGUCCUGGGUUCUAUCCUCAACACCA